GGUAUCCUGUCUGAAUAUGGGGGGACCAUCCUCCAAGGCUAAAUACUCCUGACUGACCGAUAGUGAACCAGUACCGUGAGGGAAAGGCGAAAAGAACCCCGGCGAGGGGAGUGAAAAAGAACCUGAAACCGUGUACGUACAAGCAGUGGGAGCACGCUUAGGCGUGUGACUGCGUACCUUUUGUAUAAUGGGUCAGCGACUUAUAUUCUGUAGCAAGGUUAACCGAAUAGGGGAGCCGAAGGGAAACCGAGUCUUAACUGGGCGUUAAGUUGCAGGGUAUAGACCCGAAACCCGGUGAUCUAGCCAUGGGCAGGUUGAAGGUUGGGUAACACUAACUGGAGGACCGAACCGACUAAUGUUGAAAAAUUAGCGGAUGACUUGUGGCUGGGGGUGAAAGGCCAAUCAAACCGGGAGAUAGCUGGUUCUCCCCGAAAGCUAUUUAGGUAGCGCCUCGUGAAUUCAUCUCCGGGGGUAGAGCACUGUUUCGGCAAGGGGGUCAUCCCGACUUACCAACCCGAUGCAAACUGCGAAUACCGGAGAAUGUUAUCACGGGAGACACACGGCGGGUGCUAACGUCCGUCGUGAAGAGGGAAACAACCCAGACCGCCAGCUAAGGUCCCAAAGUCAUGGUUAAGUGGGAAACGAUGUGGGAAGGCCCAGACAGCCAGGAUGUUGGCUUAGAAGCAGCCAUCAUUUAAAGAAAGCGUAAUAGCUCACUGGUCGAGUCGGCCUGCGCGGAAGAUGUAACGGGGCUAAACCAUGCACCGAAGCUGCGGCAGCGACGCUGAUGCGUUGUUGGGUAGGGGAGCGUUCUGUAAGCCUGCGAAGGUGUGCUGUGAGGCAUGCUGGAGGUAUCAGAAGUGCGAAUGCUGACAUAAGUAACGAUAAAGCGGGUGAAAAGCCCGCUCGCCGGAAGACCAAGGGUUCCUGUCCAACGUUAAUCGGGGCAGGGUGAGUCGACCCCUAAGGCGAGGCCGAAAGGCGUAGUCGAUGGGAAACAGGUUAAUAUUCCUGUACUUGGUGUUACUGCGAAGGGGGGACGGAGAAGGCUAUGUUGG
RNAcentral lists this ribosomal RNA (1058 nucleotides) under Escherichia coli. Its description in RNAcentral is "partial 23S ribosomal RNA". It matches the Rfam family "Bacterial large subunit ribosomal RNA", at positions 428 to 1490 of the family's 2925-position model. Lineage: Bacteria; Pseudomonadati; Pseudomonadota; Gammaproteobacteria; Enterobacterales; Enterobacteriaceae. The record is from RNAcentral.